RNAcentral lists this transfer RNA (68 nucleotides) under Babina adenopleura (olive frog). RNAcentral describes it as "tRNA-Val". Lineage: Eukaryota; Metazoa; Chordata; Amphibia; Anura; Ranidae. The record is from RNAcentral.
CAAAAUGUAGCUUACAGAAGCCCCCCGCUUACACCGAGAAGUUAUCUGUUAAACCCGGAUCAUUUUGA